UUGGUGUUUUUUAUCCCCAAAAAGAGUUUUAUUCUUGCUUGUUUGUUUAUUAUUGGCUUGUUUUAUAUGUAAAUUUUUGUGUGAUUACUAUGCUGUUCUAAAUGGAUGGUGGUAUUGUGGUUUAUUCGCAUUAUUUAUUUUUAAAUAUUUAAGGUGUCUUAGAUUUAGCAAUGCUUUAAGUAUCGGUUAAUUUUGUGCCAGCAGCCGCGGUUAUACAUUGGAUGCAUAUUAACAUGGUUGGUUAAAGCAGUUGAAUGUUAAUUAUUUUGGAGUUUAAGUUGGGUCGUUGGGUGGAAUCUUGAUGUUUAUAACUUCAUUUGUUUAUGUUUUGAAGCUGUGAAAUCUUUGGUUAAACUAGGAUUAGAUACCCUAUUAUUUAUGAUGUAAAUUAUUUAAACCUGAGUAGUAUUAGAUAUGUUCUUGAAACUUAAAGAAUUUGGCGGUAUUUUACUCCUUUCAGAGGAAUCUGUCCCGUAAUCGAUAGUCCGCGUUGGACCUUGCUUAAUUUUUGUUUGUAUACCGCCGUUAUAACGAAGAUCUUUUUAGGGUUGUAAUUUUCUUGAUUUCUUGUUUGAUAAUAUUUCAGGUCAAGGUGCAAUUUAUAAUUAAGUGGAGAUGGAUUACAUUUAAAUUUAUUAUUGGAUUGUUGGUUGAAAUUUACUAACAUAAAAUUGGAUUUGAUAGUAAUUUGUUGUAGAUUGUACAAAUGGUAUUGGCUCUAUAAUAUGUACACAUCGCCCGUCGCUCUCGUUAUUUAGGCGAGAUAAGUCGUAACAAAGUGGUCGUACCGGAAGGUGUGGCUAGAGUGAGAUUAAU
Molecule: non-coding RNA, 816 nt
Filed under: Mastotermes darwiniensis (giant northern termite)
Lineage: Eukaryota; Metazoa; Arthropoda; Insecta; Blattodea; Mastotermitidae
Description: 12S ribosomal RNA
Rfam family: Eukaryotic small subunit ribosomal RNA (bases 401-803)
Source: RNAcentral